GGUCGGGUGGCUCGAGUGGCUAGGCGGGGGCCGGCAAAACCCCCUACAGAGGUUCGAAUCCUCUUUCGACCUCCA
RNAcentral lists this transfer RNA (75 nucleotides) under Pedobacter nyackensis. Its description in RNAcentral is "tRNA_Cys_GCA". It matches the Rfam family "tRNA". From Rfam's summary of the family: Transfer RNA (tRNA) molecules are approximately 80 nucleotides in length. Their secondary structure includes four short double-helical elements and three loops (D, anti-codon, and T loops). Further hydrogen bonds mediate the characteristic L-shaped molecular structure. tRNAs have two regions of fundamental functional importance: the anti-codon, which is responsible for specific mRNA codon recognition, and the 3' end, to which the tRNAs corresponding amino acid is attached (by aminoacyl-tRNA synthetases). tRNAs cope with the degeneracy of the genetic code in two manners: having more than one tRNA (with a specific anti-codon) for a particular amino acid; and 'wobble' base-pairing, i.e. permitting non-standard base-pairing at the 3rd anti-codon position. The record is from RNAcentral. Lineage: Bacteria; Pseudomonadati; Bacteroidota; Sphingobacteriia; Sphingobacteriales; Sphingobacteriaceae.